AGAGUUUGAUCCUGGCUCAGAACGAACGCUGGCGGCGUGGAUAAGACAUGCAAGUCGAGCGAGAUUUUUCGUUGUAGCAAUACGAUGGAAAGUCUAGCGGCGAACGGGUGCUUAACACGUGGGCAACCUGCCAUGAAGUGGGGGAUAGCUCGCCGAAAGGCGAAUUAAUACCGCAUGUGAUUAGAGAGGACAUCCCUUCGAAAUUAAAGUCGGGGCAACCUGACGCUUCUUGUGGGGCCCGCGGCCUAUCAGCUAGUUGGUGAGGUAACGGCUCACCAAGGCUUUGACGGGUAGCUGGUCUGAGAGGACGACCAGCCACACUGGGACUGAGACACGGCCCAGACACCUACGGGUGGCAGCAGUCGAGAAUUUUUGACAAUGGGGGAAACCCUGAUCGAGCGACGCCGCGUGGAGGAUGAAGGUCUUCGGAUUGUAAACUCCUGUCAUUGGGGAACAAGGUGCAUACGUUAACUGCGUGUGUAUUGAUAGUACCCGAAGAGGAAGGGACGGCUAACUCUGUGCCAGCAGCCGCGGUAAUACAGAGGUCUCAAGCGUUGUUCGGAUUCAUUGGGCGUAAAGGGUGCGUAGGCGGCGCGGUAAGUCGGGUGUGAAAUCUCGGAGCUUAACUCCGAAACUGCAUUCGAUACUGCCGUGCUUGAGGACUGGAGAGGAGACUGGAAAUUUACGGUGUAGCGGUGAAAAUGCGUAGAUAUCGUAAGGAAGACCAGUGGCGAAGGCGGGUCUCUGGACAGUUCCUGACGCUGAGGCACGAAAGGUCAGGGGAGCAAACGGGGAUUAGAUACCCCCGUAGUCC
Molecule: ribosomal RNA, 814 nt
Filed under: uncultured bacterium
Lineage: Bacteria
Description: bacterial SSU rRNA
Rfam family: Bacterial small subunit ribosomal RNA
Source: RNAcentral